This 465-nucleotide ribosomal RNA is filed under the name Vreelandella stevensii. Its description in RNAcentral is "partial 16S ribosomal RNA". It matches the Rfam family "Bacterial small subunit ribosomal RNA", at positions 338 to 795 of the family's 1533-position model. Lineage: Bacteria; Pseudomonadati; Pseudomonadota; Gammaproteobacteria; Oceanospirillales; Halomonadaceae. The record is from RNAcentral.
CCUACGGGAGGCUGCAGUGGGGAAUAUUGGACAAUGGGCGAAAGCCUGAUCCAGCCAUGCCGCGUGUGUGAAGAAGGCCUUCGGGUUGUAAAGCACUUUCAGUGGGGAAGAAAGCCUUGGGGCUAAUACCCUCGAGGAAGGACAUCACCCACAGAAGAAGCACCGGCUAACUCCGUGCCAGCAGCCGCGGUAAUACGGAGGGUGCGAGCGUUAAUCGGAAUUACUGGGCGUAAAGCGCGCGUAGGUGGUCUGAUAAGCCGGUUGUGAAAGCCCCGGGCUCAACCUGGGAACGGCAUCCGGAACUGUCAGGCUAGAGUGCAGGAGAGGAAGGUAGAAUUCCCGGUGUAGCGGUGAAAUGCGUAGAGAUCGGGAGGAAUACCAGUGGCGAAGGCGGCCUUCUGGACUGACACUGACGCUGAGGUGCGAAAGCGUGGGUAGCAAACAGGAUUAGAUACCCUAGUAGUC